AAAGGCUGCGGUAUUUUGACCGUACAAAGGUAGCAUAAUCAUUAGUUUUUUAAUUGAAAACUCGUAUGAAUGGUUUAACGAAAUAUUAGCUGUUUCAUAAAAAUUUAAGUAGAAAUUAAUUUUUUAGUUAAAAAGCUAAAAUAUAAUUAAAAGACGAGAAGACCCUAUAGAGUUUUAUACUAAAAAUUUUAUAAUUUAUUUAUAAAAAUUUAAAUUUUAUGAUUAUUUGUAUUUUGUUGGGGUGACAAUAAAAUUUUAAAACCUUUUAUUUUUUAUUAAACAAUAAUUUUUGUAAAAUUGAUCCACUUUUAGUGAUUAUAAGAUUAAAUUACCUUAGGGAUAACAGCG
RNAcentral lists this ribosomal RNA (348 nucleotides) under Allodia sp. ER-18. RNAcentral's name for it is "partial 16S ribosomal RNA". The record is from RNAcentral. Lineage: Eukaryota; Metazoa; Arthropoda; Insecta; Diptera; Mycetophilidae.